CCUACGGGAGGCAGCAGUGGGGGAUAUUGUACAAUGGGGGGAACCCUGAUGCAGCGACGCCGCGUGGGUGAAGAAGCGCCUCGGCGCGUAAAGCCCUGUCAGCAGGGAAGAAAAUGACGGUACCUGAAGAAGAAGCCCCGGCUAACUACGUGCCAGAAGCCGCGGUAAUACGUAGGGGGCAAGCGUUAUCCGGAUUUACUGGGUGGAAAGGGGGCGCAGACGGCGAUGCAAGCCAGGAGUGAAAGCCCGGGGCCCAACCCCGGGACUGCUCUUGGAACUGCGUGGCUGGAGUGCAGGAGGGGCAGGCGGAAUUCCUGGUGUAGCGGUGAAAUGCGUAGAUAUCAGGAGGAACACCGGUGGCGAAGGCGGCCUGCUGGACUGCAACUGACGUUGAGGCCCGAAAGCGUGGGGAGCAAACAGGAUUAGAUACCCGAGUAGUC
This 440-nucleotide ribosomal RNA is filed under the name uncultured bacterium. RNAcentral describes it as "partial 16S ribosomal RNA". It matches the Rfam family "Bacterial small subunit ribosomal RNA", at positions 338 to 795 of the family's 1533-position model. The record is from RNAcentral.